Molecule: long non-coding RNA, 605 nt
Organism: Sander lucioperca (pikeperch)
Lineage: Eukaryota; Metazoa; Chordata; Actinopteri; Perciformes; Percidae
Exons: 2
Source: RefSeq, a predicted model, not a curated record
CAUUUUAUACAGCUCUGACUAAUGCAGGAGAUGUUGGACCAUACAACACAGACAUCACACUGAAAUACAGCAAGGUCUUCACCAGCAUUGGCAAUGCUUGCAAUCCAGCUACAGGUUUCUUCACAGCACCAGUCAAAGUGGUCUACUAUCUCCAGUUCACUGUGUGUGGUUACAGAACACUUAGAAUGGGUGUAUACUUGUACAAGAACAACCAGAGGAUCAUGUUUAAUCAUAAGGGAAAGGAAGUAGGUGGACUUGAUUAUUUCACUAACUCUGUUGUCUUGGAGCUGAUAGCAGUAGAUGAAAUUCACCUGGAUCUCCCAUCAAGCUAUUCAGUCUAUGAUGAUGGGAAUAACUACAGCACCUUCAGUGGCUCUCUUCUCUUCCCACUGUAAGGAUGCUGUUUAGGCUGCUGUGUGAUUGAUUUUGUCACAGUACCUGUUGUUAUUGGCUACACUGGGAUUCUUUAGGUGUUGAUAAAUGUCUGCACCGUUGCCUCCAAGACUAAUGUCACUGCAUGUAUCAAAUAAUAUGAUUCUGAAUCUGACCUCCCGCCUGUGUCCUCACAUGAAAACAACAUUCAAAUAAAUCAAAAAGUCAUUGAA